CGGAGGGUGCAAGCGUUAUCCGGAUUUACUGGGUUUAAAGGGUGUGUAGGCGGGUCUUUAAGUCAGUGGUGAAAUCUCCGAGCUCAACUUGGAAACUGCCAUUGAUACUAUUGAUCUUGAAUUUUGUUGAGGUAGGCGGAAUAAGUCAUGUAGCGGUGAAAUGCAUAGAUAUGACUUAGAACACCAAUUGCGAAGGCAGCUUGCUAAACAAAUAUUGACGCUGAGGCACGAAAGCGUGGGGAUCAAACAGGAUUAGAUACCCUGGUAGUCCACGCCCUAAACGAUGAUUACUCGACAUACGCGAUACACAGUGUGUGUCUGAGCGAAAGCAUUAAGUAAUCCACCUGGGAAGUACGACCGCAAGGUUG
This 368-nucleotide ribosomal RNA is filed under the name uncultured organism. RNAcentral describes it as "bacterial SSU rRNA". It matches the Rfam family "Bacterial small subunit ribosomal RNA", at positions 526 to 896 of the family's 1533-position model. The record is from RNAcentral.